RNAcentral lists this ribosomal RNA (414 nucleotides) under uncultured microorganism. Its description in RNAcentral is "bacterial SSU rRNA". It matches the Rfam family "Archaeal small subunit ribosomal RNA", at positions 459 to 872 of the family's 1478-position model. The record is from RNAcentral.
CAGCCGCCGCGGUAAUACCGGCGGCCCGAGUGGCAGUCACUAUUAUUGGGCUUAAAGCGUCCGUAGCCGGGUUGGGAAGUCCUCCGGGAAAUCUGGCCGCUUGACGGUCAGAAUGCCGGAGGAUACUCCCAGCCUAGGGAGCGGGAGAGGCCGAGGGUAUUCCCGGAGUAGGGGUGAAAUCCUAUAAUCCCGGGAGGACCACCUGUGGCGAAGGCGCUCGGCUGGAACGCGUCCGACGGUGAGGGACGAAGGCCAGGGGAGCAAACCGGAUUAGAUACCCGGGUAGUCCUGGCUGUAAACGAUGCGGACUUUGUGUCGGACAAGCUAUGAGCUUGUCCGGUGCCGGAGGGAAACCGUUAAGUCCGCCGCCUGGGGAGUACGGCCGCAAGGCUGAAACUUAAAGGAAUUGGCGGG